Molecule: ribosomal RNA, 467 nt
Filed under: uncultured bacterium
Lineage: Bacteria
Description: partial 16S ribosomal RNA
Rfam family: Bacterial small subunit ribosomal RNA
Source: RNAcentral
GAUGAACGCUGACAGAAUGCUUAACACAUGCAAGUCAACUUGAAUUUGGGUUUUUAACUUAGGUUUGGGUGGCGGACGGGCGAGUAACGCGUAAAGAACUUGCCUCACAGCUAGGGACAACAUUUGGAAACGAAUGCUAAUACCUAAUAUUAUGAUAAUAGGGCAUCCUAUAAUUAUGAAAGCUAUAAGCGCUGUGAGAGAGCUUUGCGUCCCAUUAGCUAGUUGGAGAGGUAACGGCUCACCAAGGCGAUGAUGGGUAGCCGGCCUGAGAGGGUGAUCGGCCACAAGGGGACUGAGACACGGCCCUUACUCCUACGGGAGGCAGCAGUGGGGAAUAUUGGACAAUGGACCGAGAGUCUGAUCCAGCAAUUCUGUGUGCACGAUGAAGUUUUUCGGAAUGUAAAGUGCUUUCAGUUGGGAAGAAACAAAUGACGGUACCAACAGAAGAAGUGACGGCUAAAUACGUG